UGAUCAUCUGUGUCCUGUAAGCUCCAAACUUCUACUGGCUUUCCAUAAAAAUAUCUGUCCUCCCAAAAUACUGGCAUCAAAUUCACAUGUCAAUGGCAAACUAAGCUGUUCCAUGAAUUAUAAAUGGUACCUUUUCACCACUACUUUCAAAAUUGCUAUGAAACAUUCAUUGAUUUAAUGAUUUAUUUUUUCAGUGUAAUAUUUAAUCCCCCAUGGACUGCACAGUGACAAAACACAGCAGCCGGCUGUUUGGAUACAACAUACAUCUCCACUCAGUUUGAUUAUUAUUUUAAAUAUAAAGGAGACACAAUAUAGAGCUUAAAUUCCUUCAUAAUUUGAACUUCAAUUGUCUAAUUGUUGUUAUUAAACUUUCUCAGUAUUCCAUUAAAACAGUCAACACUUUUAUCCAAAGCGACUUACAAUAAGUGCAUUCAACUAUAAGGUUACGAACACAGAACAGCAUGAGUGAAUCAUGUGUGUAAAUUUACUAAACACCACAAAAAAUAAACCUGGCCUCAGUCAAAUACUUAUCCCAUGAAGUAACCGCUGCUCACGUCACCCGCUCGCGUCAUCAGCUGAUGGACUCGUCCAAUCAGAGCCUCGUAAACGCCGUGCAGCAGCGUCGAGUGUCCCGCAGACAGGAAGCGGGUCGUGUUUAGCUUGUCCCGUACGAGUGACUCUGUCUUCGGGGUAAAUAACUUGCUGAAGUCGACACGACGCUGUUCCCUGGAGGAGAAGAUGAGUGCGUGUGGAGGCAGAGCCGCGGGCCCGGUGUGGACGAGUCGAGGCGGAGAAGACGGAAGCACAGUCCCUGAGUUACGCCUCAGCCCCCCCCCCACACACACACACAAACAAAGAGGCGUUAGGCUGAGACGCUGAAAGUCCGGAUUUAAAGUGCAGAAAAUUAAGCCAUUGAAUCUGCCUGUCCAUGACGUACAAAGACACACUAUGAGCCAGUAUGAUCCGACCAGACCUUACAUCAGCAUUGAGGAGUUGUCGGAGAAGAAAGAGGCUGAUUGAAGCGGGACAGAUGACAUGGAUCCAUCCUUCCACAACCAGGAGCGCACCGACCUGUGUCCCACACUUCAUAUAAGACUGGAAGCUACACUGGAUCUCACAGCUACACACCACAGACGUCUACACACUGGAGAAGAGUCCCACAAAGAAGUCAUGACCCAGAGGCUGCAGAGAAACAUUUCAAGCCUCACCUGAGAUUUUGUACAAUAUUUUUGCUGUAUGUAAAUAAAGCUUUCACUCCACAUA
This is a long non-coding RNA of Limanda limanda (common dab), 1263 nucleotides long. RefSeq lists it as uncharacterized. The transcript has 4 exons. NCBI's taxonomy places the organism in Eukaryota, Metazoa, Chordata, Actinopteri, Pleuronectiformes, Pleuronectidae. The record is from RefSeq and is a predicted model, not a curated record.